Molecule: ribosomal RNA, 676 nt
Filed under: Alcaligenes sp. BRG-3
Lineage: Bacteria; Pseudomonadati; Pseudomonadota; Betaproteobacteria; Burkholderiales; Alcaligenaceae
Description: bacterial SSU rRNA
Rfam family: Bacterial small subunit ribosomal RNA
Source: RNAcentral
GAGGCAGCAGUGGGGAAUUUUGGACAAUGGGGGAAACCCUGAUCCAGCCAUCCCGCGUGUGCGAUGAAGGCCUUCGGGUUGUAAAGCACUUUUGGCAGGAAAGAAACGUCGCGGGCUAAUACCUCGCGAAACUGACGGUACCUGCAGAAUAAGCACCGGCUAACUACGUGCCAGCAGCCGCGGUAAUACGUAGGGUGCAAGCGUUAAUCGGAAUUACUGGGCGUAAAGCGUGCGCAGGCGGUUCGGAAAGAAAGAUGUGAAAUCCCAGAGCUUAACUUUGGAACUGCAUUUUUAACUACCGGGCUAGAGUGUGUCAGAGGGAGGUGGAAUUCCGGACCUUGGUAGCGCAGCUAACGCGUGAAGUUGACCGCCUGGGGAGUACGGUCGCAAGAUUAAAACUCAAAGGAAUUGACGGGGACCCGCACAAGCGGUGGAUGAUGUGGAUUAAUUCGAUGCAACGCGAAAAACCUUACCUACCCUUGACAUGUCUGGAAUGCCGAAGAGAUUUGGCAGUGCUCGCAAGAGAACCGGAACACAGGUGCUGCAUGGCUGUCGUCAGCUCGUGUCGUGAGAUGUUGGGUUAAGUCCCGCAACGAGCGCAACCCUUGUCAUUAGUUGCUACGAAAGGGCACUCUAAUGAGACUGCCGGUGACAAACCGGAGGAAGGUGGGGAUGA